AGACCCGAAACCCGGUGAUCUAGCCAUGGGCAGGUUGAAGGUUGGGUAACACUAACUGGAGGACCGAACCGACUAAUGUUGAAAAAUUAGCGGAUGACCUGUGGCUGGGGGUGAAAGGCCAAUCAAACCGGGAGAUAGCUGGUUCUCCCCGAAAGCUAUUUAGGUAGCGCCUCGUGAAUUCAUCUCCGGGGGUAGAGCACUGUUUCGGCUAGGGGGCCAUCCCGGCUUACCAACCCGAUGCAAACUGCGAAUACCGGAGAAUGUUAUCACGGGAGACACACGGCGGGUGCUAACGUCCGUCGUGAAGAGGGAAACAACCCAGACCGCCAGCUAAGGUCCCAAAGUCAUGGUUAAGUGGGAAACGAUGUGGGAAGGCCCAGACAGCCAGGAUGUUGGCUUAGAAGCAGCCAUCAUUUAAAGAAAGCGUAAUAGCUCACUGGUCGAGUCGGCCUGCGCGGAAGAUGUAACGGGGCUAAACCAUGCACCGAAGCUGCGGCAGCGACACUGUGUGUUGUUGGGUAGGGGAGCGUUCUGUAAGCCUGUGAAGGUGUGUCGUGAGGCAUGCUGGAGGUAUCAGAAGUGCGAAUGCUGACAUAAGUAACGAUAAAGCGGGUGAAAAGCCCGCUCGCCGGAAGACCAAGGGUUCCUGUCCAACGUUAAUCGGGGCAGGGUGAGUCGACCCCUAAGGCGAGGCCGAAAGGCGUAGUCGAUGGGAAACGGGUUAAUAUUCCCGUACUUGGUGUUACUGCGAAGGGGGGACGGAGAAGGCUAUGUUGGCCGGGCGACGGUUGUCCCGGUUUAAGCGUGUAGGUGUGUGUUCCAGGUAAAUCCGGUUCACUUUAACACUGAGGCGUGACGACGAGGCACUACGGUGCUGAAGCAACAAAUGCCCUGCUUCCAGGAAAAGCCUCUAAGCAUCAGGUAACAUCAAAUCGUACCCCAAACCGACACAGGUGGUCAGGUAGAGAAUACCAAGGCGCUUGAGAGAACUCGGGUGAAGGAACUAGGCAAAAUGGUGCCGUAACUUCGGGAGAAGGCACGCUGACACGUAGGUGAAGUGAUUUACUCAUGGAGCUGAAGUCAGUCGAAGAUACCAGCUGGCUGCAACUGUUUAUUAAAAACACAGCACUGUGCAAACACGAAAGUGGACGUAUACGGUGUGACGCCUGCCCGGUGCCGGAAGGUUAAUUGAUGGGGUCAGCGCAAGCGAAGCUCCUGAUCGAAGCCCCGGUAAACGGCGGCCGUAACUAUAACGGUCCUAAGGUAGCGAAAUUCCUUGUCGGGUAAGUUCCGACCUGCACGAAUGGCGUAAUGAUGGCCAGGCUGUCUCCACCCGAGACUCAGUGAAAUUGAACUCGCUGUGAAGAUGCAGUGUACCCGCGGCAAGACGGAAAGACCCCGUGAACCUUUACUAUAGCUUGACACUGAACAUUGAGCCUUGAUGUGUAGGAUAGGUGGGAGGCUUUGAAGUGUGGACGCCAGUCUGCAUGGAGCCGACCUUGAAAUACCACCCUUUAAUGUUUGAUGUUCUAACGUGGACCCGUUACCCGGGUUGCGGACAGUGUCUGGUGGGUAGUUUGACUGGGGCGGUCUCCUCCUAAAGAGUAACGGAGGAGCACGAAGGUUGGCUAAUCCU
Molecule: ribosomal RNA, 1636 nt
Filed under: Salmonella enterica
Lineage: Bacteria; Pseudomonadati; Pseudomonadota; Gammaproteobacteria; Enterobacterales; Enterobacteriaceae
Also listed under: 1 other name
Description: partial 23S ribosomal RNA
Rfam family: Bacterial large subunit ribosomal RNA
Source: RNAcentral